GAUUAAUGGUUAGCGCCAACGAUCCGACAAGUGGUAUCAGAGCUAGAGUUUACGGGUUCGAUUCCCGCAUGCUGCAAAUGUGUGCAGGUGCUGGAGGGGGGAUUGUUGGCUUAAAUGGGCCAGCAUCUUGCCCUGUGGCGGGAGGCCAUGUGGGCCGAGUCAUGUUCGAAAUGGCGUGAGGCUGGGUUGGGCCGAGUCAUGUUCGAAGUGGCGUGAGGCCAGGUGGGCCGAGUCACAAUCGAGAUUCGUGGGUGCUGUUUCUGUACGCUUUAAGUGAAUUGGUUGCGUAUUUCUAACAGCUCGAGCUUUUGGGAUUAAUGGUUAGCGCCAACGAUCCAACAACUUCUUCUCCACCAUAACAACCUUGUUCUUGCAGUUCCUCACAGCCAAGAACAUCAAUUCCCCCAAAAUCCUCUUCGUAUGGUUCUAGAGAGAGAGAGAGAGUGAAAGAGAUAGAAGAGAAGGAGAUGAGAGGGAGAAGAGAGGUGGUUCACUGCCUGAGAACCACGUAAGACCUGGGGUUUAAAGAUAAGGCUGAAAACAAUUGCACAUAAACCCUUCACACCAGCUGAAAUUGUUGUUUGCAAAUUAGUCCUCGGGUCUGGUUACCGGUACUCCCCUGCACUGGUACCGGUACCCAGUGCAAUUCCUGCACUGCUUGCAGCAGCACCAAUCCGGGGUCCAUUCGCGCGUCCACUUUACACCGAACACCACCAAACAUCUCCGAAAUCUGCCUUUAACUAUCCUCACGCUUCCACAAUGAUUCGGAAACACCACAAACUAUAUUCAUACUUCCAUUUGAUCCAUUCCAUCAAAACUAACCUUGUAAUCCGGAGAUUUUCUUUCAAAUUCGUUUUGCGCCCAAUUUGCGCCAAAACACUCAAUUACCUCCAGAAAUCAUUCCCAUACCUCCAGAAUCACUCGGGAAAGAUGCAUAUCCAGUUCAAACUUUACUUUGAUUCUCCAGCUUAAAGUUAGCAUUGUAAUCCGAAAAUUUUCAGUAUUUUACAGUUACAAUUAGGAUUUUUGUGGUUAGAGGAUUUGUAAUGAAAUUGACCCCUUAAU
Molecule: long non-coding RNA, 1065 nt
Filed under: Ananas comosus (pineapple)
Lineage: Eukaryota; Viridiplantae; Streptophyta; Magnoliopsida; Poales; Bromeliaceae
Description: long non-coding RNA (ACOM_LNC009035)
Source: RNAcentral